This 200-nucleotide ribosomal RNA is filed under the name uncultured bacterium. RNAcentral describes it as "partial 16S ribosomal RNA". It matches the Rfam family "Bacterial small subunit ribosomal RNA", at positions 524 to 723 of the family's 1533-position model. The record is from RNAcentral.
UACGUAGGGUGCGAGCGUUAAUCGGAAUACUGGCGUAAAGCGUGCGCAGGCGGUGAUGUAAGACAGGUGUGAAAUCCCCGGGCUUAACCUGGGAACUGCAUUUGUGACUGCAUCGCUGGAGUGCGGCAGAGGGGGAUGGAAUUCCGGCGUGUAGCAGUGAAAUGCGUAGAUAAUGCGGAGGAACACCGAUGGCGAAGGCA